UUAAGUGAAUAAGGGCGCACGGUGGAUGCCUUGGCACUAGGAGCCGAUGAAGGACGGGACUAACACCGAUAUGCUUUGGGGAGCUGUAAGUAAGCUAUGAUCCAGAGAUUUCCGAAUGGGGGAACCCAAUAUCUUUUAUAGGAUAUUACUUUUCAGUGAAUACAUAGCUGAUUAGAGGUAGACGCAGAGAACUGAAACAUCUUAGUACCUGCAGGAAGAGAAAGAAAAUUCGAUUCCCUGAGUAGCGGCGAGCGAAACGGGAAGAGCCCAAACCAACAAGCUUGCUUGUUGGGGUUGUAGGACUCCGAUAUGGUAGUCUGUUAGUAUAGUUGAAGGAUUUGGAAAAUUCCGCUAAAGAGGGUGAAAGCCCCGUAGACGAAAUGCUGACAACACCUAGGAGGAUCCUGAGUACGGCGGAACACGAGAAAUUCCGUCGGAAUCCGCGGGGACCAUCCCGCAAGGCUAAAUACUCCCUAGUGACCGAUAGUGAACCAGUACCGUGAGGGAAAGGUGAAAAGCACCCCGGAAGGGGAGUGAAAUAGAUCCUGAAACCGUGUGCCUACAACAAGUCAAAGCUCGUUAAUGAGUGAUGGCGUGCCUUUUGUAGAAUGAACCGGCGAGUUACGAUUGCAUGCGAGGUUAAGUCGAAGAGACGGAGCCGCAGCGAAAGCGAGUCUGAAUAGGGCGAAUGAGUAUGUAGUCGUAGACCCGAAACCAUGUGAUCUACCCAUGUCCAGGUUGAAGGUGCGGUAAAACGCACUGGAGGACCGAACCCACGUACGUUGAAAAGUGCGGGGAUGAGGUGUGGGUAGCGGAGAAAUUCCAAACGAACUUGGAGAUAGCUGGUUCUCUCCGAAAUAGCUUUAGGGCUAGCCUCGGAAUUGAGAAUGAUGGAGGUAGAGCACUGUUUGGACUAGGGGCCCAUCUCGGGUUACCGAAUUCAGAUAAACUCCGAAUGCCAUUCAUUUAUAUCCGGGAGUCAGACUGCGAGUGAUAAGAUCCGUAGUCGAAAGGGAAACAGCCCAGACCACCAGCUAAGGUCCCAAAAUAUAUGUUAAGUGGAAAAGGAUGUGGGGUUGCACAGACAACUAGGAUGUUGGCUUAGAAGCAGCCACCAUUUAAAGAGUGCGUAAUAGCUCACUAGUCGAGUGACCCUGCGCCGAAAAUGUACCGGGGCUAAACAUAUUACCGAAGCUGUGGACUACACCAUUAGGUGUAGUGGUAGGAGAGCGUUCUAAGGGCGUUGAAGGUCGAUCGUGAGGACGGCUGGAGCGCUUAGAAGUGAGAAUGCCGGUAUGAGUAGCGAAAGACAGGUGAGAAUCCUGUCCACCGUAUGACUAAGGUUUCCUGGGGAAGGCUCGUCCGCCCAGGGUUAGUCGGGACCUAAGCCGAGGCCGAUAGGCGUAGGCGAUGGACAACAGGUUGAUAUUCCUGUACCAGUUGUUUUUGUUUGAGCAAUGGAGGGACGCAGUAGGCUAAGGAAUGCAUGCGAUUGGAAGUGCAUGUCCAAGCAAUGAGUCUUGAGUAGAGUUAAAUGCUUUACUCUCUAAGGACAAGUUGUGACGGGGAGCGAAAUAAUAGUAGCGAAGUUCCUGAUGUCACACUGCCAAGAAAAGCUUCUAGUGAGAAAACAACUGCCCGUACCGUAAACCGACACAGGUAGUCGAGGAGAGUAUCCUAAGGUGAGCGAGCGAACUCUCGUUAAGGAACUCGGCAAAAUGACCCCGUAACUUCGGGAGAAGGGGUGCUGACUUCGGUCAGCCGCAGUGAAUAGGCCCAAGCGACUGUUUAUCAAAAACACAGGUCUCUGCAAAAUCGUAAGAUGAAGUAUAGGGGUUGACGCCUGCCCGGUGCUGGAAGGUUAAGAGGAUGGGUUAGCUUCGGCGAAGCUCAGAAUUGAAGCCCCAGUAAACGGCGGCCGUAACUAUAACGGUCCUAAGGUAGCGAAAUUCCUUGUCGGGUAAGUUCCGACCCGCACGAAAGGCGUAACGAUUUGGGCACUGUCUCAACGAGAGACUCGGUGAAAUUUUAGUACCUGUGAAGAUGCAGGUUACCCGCGACA
This 2062-nucleotide ribosomal RNA is filed under the name Enterococcus faecalis EnGen0361. RNAcentral's name for it is "bacterial LSU rRNA". It matches the Rfam family "Bacterial large subunit ribosomal RNA", at positions 1 to 2077 of the family's 2925-position model. The record is from RNAcentral. Lineage: Bacteria; Bacillati; Bacillota; Bacilli; Lactobacillales; Enterococcaceae.